CUCAUGAUGAACGCUAGCUACAGGCUUAACACAUGCAAGUCGAGGGGCAGCAUGGUCUUAGCUUGCUAAGGCCGAUGGCGACCGGCGCACGGGUGAGUAACGCGUAUCCAACCUGCCUUACACUCUUGGACAGCCUUCUGAAAGGGAGAUUAAUACAAGAUGUUAUCAUGAGUAAGCAUUUUCGCAUGAUUAAAGGUUUACCGGUGUAAGAUGGGGAUGCGUUCCAUUAGAUAGUAGGCGGGGUAACGGCCCACCUAGUCUUCGAUGGAUAGGGGUUCUGAGAGGAAGGUCCCCCACAUUGGAACUGAGACACGGUCCAAACUCCUACGGGAGGCAGCAGUGAGGAAUAUUGGUCAAUGGACGAGAGUCUGAACCAGCCAAGUAGCGUGAAGGAUGAAGGUUCUAUGGAUUGUAAACUUCUUUUAUACGGGAAUAAACGGAUCCACGUGUGGAUUUUUGCAUGUACCGUAUGAAUAAGGAUCGGCUAACUCCGUGCCAGCAGCCGCGGUAAUACGGAGGAUCCGAGCGUUAUCCGGAUUUAUUGGGUUUAAAGGGAGCGUAGAUGGGUUGUUAAGUCAGUUGUGAAAGUUUGCGGCUCAACCGUAAAAUUGCAAUUGAUACUGGCAGUCUUGAGUACAGUUGAGGUAGGCGGAAUUCGUGGUGUAGCGGUGAAAUGCUUAGAUAUCACGAAGAACUCCGAUUGCGAAGGCAGCUUACUAACCUGUAACUGACAUUGAUGCUCGAAAGUGUGGGUAUCAAACAGGAUUAGAUACCCUGGUAGUCCACACGGUAAACGAUGAAUACUCGCUGUAGGCGAUAUACAGUCUGCGGCCAAGCGAAAGCAUUAAGUAUUCCACCUGGGGAGUACGCCGGCAACGGUGAAACUCAAAGGAAUUGACGGGGGCCCGCACAAGCGGAGGAACAUGUGGUUUAAUUCGAUGAUACGCGAGGAACCUUACCCGGGCUUAAAUUGCAACCGAAUAUGGCGGAAACGCUAUAGCUAGCAAUAGCGGUUGUGAAGGUGCUGCAUGGUUGUCGUCAGCUCGUGCCGUGAGGUGUCGGCUUAAGUGCCAUAACGAGCGCAACCCUUGCCGAUAGUUACUAACAGGUCAUGCUGAGGACUCUGUCGGGACUGCCAUCGUAAGAUGUGAGGAAGGUGGGGAUGACGUCAAAUCAGCACGGCCCUUACGUCCGGGGCUACACACGUGUUACAAUGGGGGGUACAGAGGGCUGCUACCACGCAAGUGGAUGCCAAUCCCAAAAACCUCUCUCAGUUCGGAUUGAAGUCUGCAACCCGACUUCAUGAAGCUGGAUUCGCUAGUAAUCGCGCAUCAGCCACGGCGCGGUGAAUACGUUCCCGGGCCUUGUACACACCGCCCGUCAAGCCAUGGGAGCCGGGGGUACCUGAAGUGCGUAACCGCAAGGAGCGCCCUAGGGUAAAAC
This 1443-nucleotide ribosomal RNA is filed under the name uncultured organism. Its description in RNAcentral is "SSU rRNA". It matches the Rfam family "Bacterial small subunit ribosomal RNA". The record is from RNAcentral.